This 253-nucleotide ribosomal RNA is filed under the name uncultured bacterium. RNAcentral's name for it is "partial 16S ribosomal RNA". It matches the Rfam family "Bacterial small subunit ribosomal RNA", at positions 524 to 776 of the family's 1533-position model. The record is from RNAcentral.
UACGAAGGGGGCUAGCGUUGCUCGGAAUCACUGGGCGUAAAGCGCACGUAGGCGGCUUCUUAAGUCAGGGGUGAAAUCCUGGAGCUCAACUCCAGAACUGCCCUUGAUACUGAGGAGCUCGAGUCCGGAAGAGGUGAGUGGAACUCCGAGUGUAGAGGUGAAAUUCGUAGAUAUUCGGAAGAACACCAGUGGCGAAGGCGGCUCACUGGUCCGGUACUGACGCUGAGGUGCGAAAGCGUGGGGAGCAAGCAGG